UACGGAGGGGGCGAGCGUUAUUCGGAAUUAUUGGGCGUAAAGGGCGCGCAGGCGGCUGCUCAAGUCAGGCGUGAAAGGCCUGGGCUCAACCCGGGAAUUGCGCUUGAGACUGGGCUGGCUUGAGUGCGGGAGAGGAUGGUGGAAUUCCCAGUGUAGAGGUGAAGUUCGUAGAUAUUGGGAAGAACACCGGUGGCGAAGGCGGCCAUCUGGACCGCAACUGACGCUGAGGCGCGAAAGCGUGGGGAGCAAACAGG
Molecule: ribosomal RNA, 254 nt
Filed under: uncultured bacterium
Lineage: Bacteria
Description: partial 16S ribosomal RNA
Rfam family: Bacterial small subunit ribosomal RNA
Source: RNAcentral